AGGGCGGGCAGCCCGGGGCGCAAAGGAUGUACAAGCAGUCAAUGGCGCAGAGAGCGCGGACCAUGGCACUCUACAACCCCAUCCCCGUCCGACAGAACUGCCUCACGGUUAACCGGUCUCUCUUCCUCUUCAGCGAAGACAACGUGGUGAGAAAAUACGCCAAAAAGAUCACCGAAUGGCCUCCCUUUGAAUAUAUGAUUUUAGCCACCAUCAUAGCGAAUUGCAUCGUCCUCGCACUGGAGCAGCAUCUGCCUGAUGAUGACAAGACCCCUAUGUCUGAACGGCUGGAUGACACAGAACCAUACUUCAUUGGAAUUUUUUGUUUCGAGGCUGGAAUUAAAAUCAUUGCCCUUGGGUUUGCCUUCCACAAAGGCUCCUACUUGAGGAAUGGCUGGAACGUCAUGGACUUUGUGGUGGUGCUAACGGGCAUCUUGGCGACAGUUGGGACGGAGUUUGACCUACGGACGCUGAGGGCAGUUCGAGUGCUGCGGCCGCUCAAGCUGGUGUCUGGAAUCCCAAGUUUACAAGUCGUCCUGAAGUCGAUCAUGAAGGCGAUGAUCCCUUUGCUGCAGAUCGGCCUCCUCCUAUUUUUUGCAAUCCUUAUUUUUGCAAUCAUAGGGUUAGAAUUUUAUAUGGGAAAAUUUCAUACCACCUGCUUUGAAGAGGGGACAGGUAGGUCCACGGAGCAUGAUGUGUCUUUCCAGUUUUCUCCUUCACAGACAAGCUCUUGGGAGGAUUAGGCAGGGGUGUGCUUCUUUCUCCUGGCAGCUGGGAGGACCGUCUCCUUCAGAGAGCACUGCAGGAGAGGCAGUGGGUGAAAUAGCCUCUGAGAUCUUAGCUGUUGAAAGGGUUGGGGUUCCACAGAAGGUGACCCAGCAGAGAAAGAGUUUAUUUGGAAAUGAUCCCAGAAAGCACCAUCAGGAGAAUGAGGAAGUGAGCAGAGAAAGGAAGGGAUCUGUUAAAGGGUGUGCUACCAAGCGGGUUAUCACUUACAACUGGGACUGGAUCCCCCUGGGCACCUCUGGGAGACAGCAAAGAACACACAACUCAGCUGGGCAUGGUGGCUCACGCCUGCAAUCCCAGCACUUUGGGGGGCCGAGGGGGGUGGAUCACCUGAGAUCAGAAGUCAGAGACCAUCCUGGCCAACAUGGUGAAACCCAUCUGUACUAAAAAAUACAAAAAUUAGCUGGGUGUGGUGGCAGGCACCUGUAGUCCCAAUUACUCAGGAGGCUGAGGCAGGAGAAUCACUUGAACCUGGGAGGCAGAAGUUGCAGUGAGCCAAGAUCACACCACUGCACUCCAGCCUGGCGAAAGAGCGAGACUCCAUCUCAAAUAAAUAAAUACAAAUAUAAAUAAAAAAAGAAUACACACCUCAGAGCCGUCCCAGCCAAGGGGCAAGGGAGCUGGGGUAUUUAUACACUGGCUUCUUUCUGACAUCGGUGAGGACUGCUCCUAGAGUGGGAAUUAAUGCCUGGCACAUCUGGCUGAGUGGAACAGGUAUUCUGAGUGCUUUCAGACCUCAACCAGUCCUGACUUCUAAAGCAAGCAAGAAGUGGGGAGAGUUGGGCCAGAAAAGGGUUAUUGCCUAAAUGCAGUGUGAGUGGUACCUUGUGGAAGGUGAGAGUACUGGAUGAGUCCUCCUGGUCUCCCCCAACCCCCAGGAUGUGCCAGAGAUACCCCAAUUGGGAGUCCUGACACCAGCCAAUCAGAACCUAGCACUCAGCAUUGUUCUGCCCCUCCCUGACUAUGCCCACAUUAACCCUUCAGUGGCUGGGUCUGGGGGUGGGGUGAGCCCCGGAAAAGCCAGGCAGCCCAGAGACACUCUCCCAGGGCUCAGCUCUGAACCAGCAGUGUGGAAGCAGUGUGUCUGCCACGAUCCACACUCAGGAACCAAAUAGCCCUUGGAUACGUUUUCAGUUAAAUCUUUGCCUGUCCAAACUCUAGCUGCUUGCUCUCUAAAGCUCCAGAAUGAAAUGGAAUCAAGUAGGAAAAGAUGCCUUCAGUAUUUCAAUAUUUGGACCACUGGCCAUCUGGGUGCAGACAGACUGAAUGGCAGCUCUGGUUCUGAUGAUUUGGGUCAAGGGAGCUGUGAAUUGAAGGAGUGGAUAGAAGGAAUCAAGAAGCCCAAAGGGGAACCCAGGUGGGCAGAGAAAGAGGUUUCAGGCCCCUUAUUUGGGAAAGGCAGCCACAGAAGAAGAUUCUGUCUGGGAGUGGAUUUCCACCCACCCUCUCCACCCAGUGACCCCCAAGUGGAUCCGCAGAGGCAGCCCCUGAGCCCUCCCUCCCCACUCCUCCCCAGGCGGGAGGGAAAACCCAUUGGGGAAGGUUUAUUUGCAAUGGUUGGAGGUUUGGGGUUUUUUGUGGGUUUUUUUGGUUUGGUUUUUUUUUUCCUCUUUUUCUCUUGCUCCUCUUGUCUCCUUCUCUCCUGGGCUUGUGAAGUUUGCUCAAUAUGGAAUGUCCUAAUUAUUUCUUUCCCUGAUGAAGAAGGUGUUAAUUGAGGCAGAGCUAUUUCUGCUCCUGGCCUCGUCACCCAGGCGGAAAUGCGAGAGAGAGAGAGAGAGAGAGAGAGAGAGAGAGAGAGAAUGAAUAUGGGGCAGGGCCUCUUGGAAAAAUCAGCCGUGAGCAGAGAAACCAGGACUCCUGGAUGCUAGGUUUCUGUGAGGUUUUAUUUUAGACUAGCUAAAGGAGAAGAGGCCAUGGGGUUGGCUUGGGUCCGAGUGGGGUUUUGAGGGGACAGAUGUGGGUGGUACCACCAGAGGGGAAGAAGCCUCGAUUUAGGAGAAAGACUGAAAAGCUAGCUCACGAUUAAAAAUAUAAGACGUGUGAGUAAGAGACAGAUAUAUACAGACACCCAGGCAGUGGGUUAAUUUUAAAAUGUAUUUAUAACCGAAUUCCUCAGACACUCUGGACGCUUGUUUUUCUAGAAGCAACGCUCAGAGUGUUUCGUGUCGGUGGUUGGGGGGUUGAGGGGGAUUGCAAAGCUGCUAAAGAUAGACCCGUUUUCAGUAGCAUUCCUCAGUGUCGGGAGCCCAGUUCCUGUGCGCCCAGCACCGUGCCAAUCGCUUAGAAGGAAGCAAAGAUAAAGUGGAAGGCUUCCUGCUUUCUAAGAGCUUCCAAAAUAGAGGAAACAAGACCCCUCAUUUGCAGCCAUUUUUAAUGGUGAAGGCUAAUGUGUGAUUAUACCCACGUCCCCCUAAAUGUGAAAAUUCAGUAGCUAUUGUAUGCCUGAAAGGGGCCAGGUGCAGUGGCUCACACCUGUAAUCCUAGCACUUUGAGAGGCUGAGGUAGGAGUAUCCCUUGAGGCCAUUAGUUUGAGACCAGCCUAGGCAACAUAGCAAGACGCUGUCUCUGCUAAAAUAAAAAUUUAAAAAUUGGCCGGGUGCAGUGGCUCAUGCCUGUAAUCCCAGCACUUUGGGAGGCCGAGGCAGGCGGAUCAAAAGGUGAGGAGUUCAAGACCUGCCUGGCCAACAUAGUGAAACCCCGUCUCUACUAAAAAUACAAAAAAAGAAAAAAAAUUAGCCAGGCAUGGUGGCGUGUGCCUGUAGUACCACAUACUUGAGAGGCACUUGAACCUGGGACAUAGAGGUUACAGUGAGCCGAGAUCAUGCUACUGCACUGCAGCUUGGGCAACAGAGUGAGAUUUCUUCUCAAAAUAAAAAAAUUUAAAAAUUAGCCAUGAGUGGUGGUACAUGCCUGUAGUCCUAGCUACUCAGGAGGCUGAGGAAGAAGGAUCACUUGAGCCCAGGAAUUGGAGGCUGUGAGGCUGCAGUAAGCUAUGAUGGAGCCUGCACUGCAGCCUGGGUGACAAAGUGAG
RNAcentral lists this small RNA (3814 nucleotides) under Pongo abelii (Sumatran orangutan). Its description in RNAcentral is "retained intron". Lineage: Eukaryota; Metazoa; Chordata; Mammalia; Primates; Hominidae. The record is from RNAcentral.